Molecule: ribosomal RNA, 252 nt
Filed under: uncultured bacterium
Lineage: Bacteria
Description: partial 16S ribosomal RNA
Rfam family: Bacterial small subunit ribosomal RNA
Source: RNAcentral
UACGGAGGAUGCGAGCGUUAUCCGGAUUUAUUGGGUUUAAAGGGUGCGUAGGCGGACUGUCAAGUCAGCGGUAAAAUACGGGGGCUCAACCUCCGCCCGCCGUUGAAACUGACGGUCUUGAGUGGGCGAGAAGUAUGCGGAAUGCGUGGUGUAGCGGUGAAAUGCAUAGAUAUCACGCAGAACUCCGAUUGCGAAGGCAGCAUACCGGCGCCCAACUGACGCUGAAGCACGAAAGCGUGGGGAGCAAACAGG